Molecule: ribosomal RNA, 429 nt
Filed under: Triticum aestivum (bread wheat)
Lineage: Eukaryota; Viridiplantae; Streptophyta; Magnoliopsida; Poales; Poaceae
Description: partial small subunit ribosomal RNA
Source: RNAcentral
AUGGCGAAACAAAUCGCUCACCGGCUUCCAGCCAAGGGGCAAAUCGUCCCCACCCCGAAGCCCAACGAGAGGGUGGUGUUCAUCCCUCAUUUCGUCUGCGGGUUAGGGUUUCCUCUCCAUCUUUUCGUCCACGAGCUUAUGUUCUAUUACGGGCUAGAUUUCCAUGACCUAGCCCCGAACUCUUUCCUCAACAUCUCGGCAUUCAUUGUCGUGUGUGAGGCCUUCCUCUGCAUCCAACCCCACUUUGGACCCUGGCUCAAGAUUUUCAACAUGAAGCCGAAGGUGGUGGAUGGCCAGCACACGAAGUGCGGAGGCGCCAUGGUGAGCAAGCUGCCCAAUGUCACAUGGCCCAAGGGUACUUUUGUGGAGACCGUCAAGGAGUGGCAGAAACUGUGGUUUUACAUCACAGAGCCCCGCGACGCCACCUAG